CCAGAAGAAGGAGAUGAAGAAGCCUAGAUUCCAUAAUGCGGGAGUCCCAGAUCCUCAAAGUACGAUGAUUCGCCAAAUCAAGAAAUGAGGAUUAGGAAGCAGUCACCCUCGAAAGGAACUAAAUCAUCACCUUGGGAAUUGUGGCCAGUCAUGAGACAUGCAUGAGGAGACUGAAGGGGGUUUUUGCAGUGCCAGGUGUGGAUUGAGAUUCAGCCUUGUAAGACUUACUCACUGAAAACUGGAAUUUGCUUAGUUCCAAGGUAACCUUUUGUAACAGAUGUCAUUGGCUACCUAUCCAAUAGUCAUUCCACUUCCCUUUGUUUUUCCUUGGAGGAGAACAAGAUUUUCUUCAUUAUACACAAUAAAAUUGGGAUG
This 375-nucleotide long non-coding RNA is filed under the name Homo sapiens (human). RNAcentral's name for it is "HSALNT0312283". The record is from RNAcentral. Lineage: Eukaryota; Metazoa; Chordata; Mammalia; Primates; Hominidae.